RNAcentral lists this transfer RNA (73 nucleotides) under Camelus bactrianus (Bactrian camel). It matches the Rfam family "tRNA". From Rfam's summary of the family: Transfer RNA (tRNA) molecules are approximately 80 nucleotides in length. Their secondary structure includes four short double-helical elements and three loops (D, anti-codon, and T loops). The record is from Rfam by way of RNAcentral. RNAcentral also lists the same sequence under 2 other names. Lineage: Eukaryota; Metazoa; Chordata; Mammalia; Artiodactyla; Camelidae.
GAGGGUAUAGCUCAAGUGGUAGAGCACAUGCUUAGCAUGCAGGAGGUCCUGGGUUCAAUCCCCAGCACCUCUU